RNAcentral lists this ribosomal RNA (554 nucleotides) under uncultured bacterium. RNAcentral's name for it is "bacterial SSU rRNA". It matches the Rfam family "Bacterial small subunit ribosomal RNA", at positions 357 to 921 of the family's 1533-position model. The record is from RNAcentral.
GGGAAUAUUGCACAAUGGGCGGAAGCCUGAUGCAGCGACGCCGCGUGAGGGAUGACGGCCUUCGGGCGGUAAACCUCUUUCAGCUCCGACGAAGCGCAAGUGACGGUAGGAGCAGAAGAAGCGCCGGCCAACUACGUGCCAGCAGGCGCGGUAAGACGUAGGGCGCGAGCGUUGUCCGGAUUUAUUGGGCGUAAAGAGCUCGUAGGCGGCUUGUCGCGUCGACUGUGAAAACCCGCAGCUCAACUGCGGGCCUGCAGCCGAUACGGGCAGGCUAGAGUUCGGUAGGGGAGACUGGAAUUCCUGGUGUAGCGGUGAAAUGCGCAGAUAUCAGGAGGAACACCGGUGGCGAAGGCGGGUCUCUGGGCCGAUACUGACGCUGAGGAGCGAAAGCGUGGGGAGCGAACAGGAUUAGAUACCCUGGUAGUCCACGCUGUAAACGUUGGGCGCUAGGUGUGGGGGACCUCUCCGGUUCUCUGUGCCGCAGCUAACGCAUUAAGCGCCCCGCCUGGGGAGUACGGCCGCAAGGCUAAAACUCAAAGGAAUUGACGGAAGCC